GACGAACGCUGGCGGCGUGCUUAACACAUGCAAGUCGAACGGAAAGGCCCCCACUUUUUUGGUGGGGGUGCUCGAGUGGCGAACGGGUGAGUAACACGUGGGUGAUCUGCCCUGUACUUCGGGAUAAGCUUGGGAAACUGGGUCUAAUACCGGAUAGGACCAUGGUUUAGUGUCUCAUGGUGGAAAAAUUAUUGUUUUGGUGCAGGAUGAGCUCGCGGCCUAUCAGCUUGUUGGUGGGGUAAUGGCCUACCAAGGCGUCGACGGGUAGCCGGCCUGAGAGGGUGGACGGCCACAUUGGGACUGAGAUACGGCCCAGACUCCUACGGGAGGCAGCAGUGGGGAAUAUUGCGCAAUGGGCGCAAGCCUGAUGCAGCGACGCCGCGUGGGGGAUGACGGCCUUCGGGUUGUAAACUCCUUUCGUUAGGGACGAAGCCGCACCUUUUUUGGGUGUGGUGACGGUACCUUUGUUAAGAAGCACCGGCUAACUACGUG
Molecule: ribosomal RNA, 492 nt
Filed under: uncultured bacterium
Lineage: Bacteria
Description: partial 16S ribosomal RNA
Rfam family: Bacterial small subunit ribosomal RNA
Source: RNAcentral